UUACCUGAACUGUCACUACAACCACCAGGCUCCACCCACUAGCUAGGCCACCCAUAACCCAGCAGCUUGUAUGAGCCGGGUCGGGGUCUUCUUGGAGUCAGGUUGCUUGGGAAUGCAGCCCAAAGCUGCUGGUAAACUCCAUCUAAGGCUAAAUACUGGCACGAGACCGAUAGUCAACAAGUACCGUAAGGGAAAGUUGAAAAGAACUUUUGAAGAGAGAAUUCAAGAGGGCAUGAAACCGUUAAGAGGUAAACGGGUGGGGUCCGCGCAGUCUGCCCGGACGAGUUCCAGGAGGACAGAACUGACAUUGAAAACCAAGUAAUAACUGAGCAUAGUGUAGCAGUUAGGAACAAUCAGGAUUAAUCAUAGUGGUGGUGUGCAGUACUGUAUAAGAGAUUAGGAAAGCCAUCGGAGUGUUAACACAGAGUAAAGCUGAACACAUCAAUACAGCAGUCAGACACAAUCAUGAUGACUCAGGAUGGCAUGGCUGCACUGAGCAUUCAUCAAGAAUACCAGCAAUAAAACAGAUCUGGGAACAUAAAAAUUCAGUCUCUGGGACUGAUAGCUCAUUGUUUUCUUAAUCUGUAUAUACCUAAUAACUUCACCAGCAACUUCUGAUUUUAGAAGU
This 628-nucleotide non-coding RNA is filed under the name Chelonia mydas (Green sea turtle). RNAcentral's name for it is "Eukaryotic large subunit ribosomal RNA". It matches the Rfam family "Eukaryotic large subunit ribosomal RNA", at positions 170 to 634 of the family's 3401-position model. Lineage: Eukaryota; Metazoa; Chordata; Testudines; Cheloniidae. The record is from Rfam by way of RNAcentral.